GAUGAAUGCUGGCGGCGUGCCCAACACAUGCAAGUCGAGCGGCAGCGCGGUCUUCGGACUGGCGGCGAGCGGCGGACGGCUGAGUAACGCGUGGGAACAUACCCCAAAGUGAGGGAUAACCGCCCGAAAGGGUGGCUAAUACCGCAUAUGAUCUUCGGAUUAAAGGAUUUAUCCGCUUUGGGAAUGGCCUGCGUACGAUUAGAUAGUUGGUGAGGUAAUGGCUUACCAAGUCUACGAUCGUUAACUGGUCUGAGAGGAUGAUCAGUCAGACUGGAACUGAGACACGGUCCAGACUCCUACGGGAGGCAGCAGUGAGGAAUCUUCCACAAUGGGCGAAAGCCUGAUGGAGCAACGCCGCGUGCAGGAUGAAGGCCUUCGGGUCGUAAACUGCUUUUAUAAGUGAAGAAUAUGACGGUAACUUAUGAAUAAGCACCGGCUAACUACGUGCCAGCCGCCGCGGUA
RNAcentral lists this ribosomal RNA (462 nucleotides) under uncultured bacterium. Its description in RNAcentral is "partial 16S ribosomal RNA". It matches the Rfam family "Bacterial small subunit ribosomal RNA", at positions 28 to 522 of the family's 1533-position model. The record is from RNAcentral.